RNAcentral lists this ribosomal RNA (1131 nucleotides) under human gut metagenome. RNAcentral's name for it is "bacterial LSU rRNA". It matches the Rfam family "Bacterial large subunit ribosomal RNA", at positions 1793 to 2925 of the family's 2925-position model. The record is from RNAcentral.
CAAGCAACUGUUUAGCAAAAACACAGGUCUAUGCGAAACCGAAAGGUGAGGUAUAUGGGCUGACGCCUGCCCGGUGCUGGAAGGUUAAGGGGAGAGGUUAGCGCAAGCGAAGCUUUGAACUUAAGCCCCAGUAAACGGCGGCCGUAACUAUAACGGUCCUAAGGUAGCGAAAUUCCUUGUCGGGUAAGUUCCGACCCGCACGAAAGGCGUAAUGAUUUGAGCGCUGUCUCGACAAUGCAUCCGGUGAAAUUGAAGUACCAGUGAAGAUGCUGGUUACCCGCGCCAGGACGGAAAGACCCCAUGGAGCUUUACUCCAGCUUGAUACUGGGAUCCGGUAUUGCAUGUACAGGAUAGGUGGGAGGCUAGGAAGCGGGGACGCCAGUCGCCGCGGAGCCGCUGUUGGGAUACCACCCUUGCAGUGCUGGGUUUCUAACCAGCAGCCGUGAACCGGCUGGGGGACAAUGUCAGGCGGGGAGUUUGACUGGGGCGGUCGCCUCCGAAAGGGUAUCGGAGGCGCUCAAAGGUUCCCUCAGAAUGGUCGGAAACCAUUCGAAGAGUGCAAAGGCAGAAGGGAGCUUGACUGCGACACCGACGGGUGGAGCAGGUACGAAAGUAGGGCUUAGUGAUCCGGUGGUAUUAAGUGGGAAUGCCAUCGCUCAACGGAUAAAAGCUACCCUGGGGAUAACAGGCUUAUCACUCCCAAGAGUUCACAUCGACGGAGUGGUUUGGCACCUCGAUGUCGGCUCAUCGCAUCCUGGGGCUGUAGUAGGUCCCAAGGGUUGGGCUGUUCGCCCAUUAAAGCGGUACGCGAGCUGGGUUCAGAACGUCGUGAGACAGUUCGGUCCCUAUCCGGCGUGGGCGUAGGAUAUUUGAGAGGAGCUGUCCUUAGUACGAGAGGACCGGGAUGGACUGACCUCUGGUGUACCGGUUGAACCGCCAGGUUCACGGCCGGGUAGCCAAGUCGGGAAGGGAUAAACGCUGAAGGCAUCUAAGCGUGAAGCCCCCCUCAAGAUGAGAUAUCCCAUUCGAAAGAAGUAAGACCCCUUGAAGACGACGAGGUAGAUAGGGCAGAGGUGGAAGUGCCGUAAGGCAUGGAGCUGACUGUUACUAAUCGGUCGAGGGCUUGACCUG